Molecule: RNA transcript, 628 nt
Organism: Anastrepha obliqua
Lineage: Eukaryota; Metazoa; Arthropoda; Insecta; Diptera; Tephritidae
Exons: 3
Source: RefSeq, a predicted model, not a curated record
GGCGCACUUGCGACCGGCACCCAUGCCAAUGUUGAUAGUUAAAAUGUUGAAGUAGAGUAGUUCGUUCACUGGAUACACUUUAAAUAUGACAUUUCUUAUGCAAAUUUUGAAUUAAACUCUUUUAUGCAGUCAAAUUGGUAGUUGCGCUAUUCAUAUGGUCAAUUAAUCAACCCAGUGAAUGGAGAGUGGAAAAGCCAUUAAAACGCGAAAAUCAAAUCUUACUAAUGGCGACGAUUUUUUGGGAUACGAACGGCGUCAUCGGUAUGGAUUUAUUAAAAAAAAAGGAAGAACGAUCAUUGGACAAUAUAACAGUGAGAGUGAGUGGACAUUUGACAAAAAAGAAGGUGCUGUUUCACCACGAUAACACAUCAGCUCUUUCAUUCGGACUUGUCGCCGCCAACUGCAUGAAUUGCGUUAUGAAUUGCUGACGCACCCCCGCAUUUACUUGAUCUGGCUCUCUUCGACUUUUUCUUGUUCCCUAACAUAAAGAAAUGGCUCGCGGCGGGGAAAAGUAGUUCAAACUAGAAAGUCAUCGCUGGGAGAGAGGCGAAUUUUGAAGAGUUCGAUAAAUUCUAUUUUUUGGAGGGGUUAAAAAAAUUGCCGGAGCGUUGGGAGAAAUGUAUCUUUC